GAUGAACGCUGGCGGCGUGCCUAAUACAUGCAAGUCGAGCGAACAGACGAGGCUCUUGCUCCUCUGACGUGGGCGGCGGACGGGUGAUUAACACGUGUAUACCCUACCUAUAAGACUGGGAUAACUUCGGGAAACCGGAUCUAACACCGGAUAAUAUAUUGAACCGCAGGGUUCAUUAGUGAAAUACGUUUUUGAUGACCCUUAUUGAGGUUUCCUCGCCGCAUUAGCUAGUUGGUAGGGUAACGGCUUACCAAGGCUACGAUGCGUAGCCGACCUGAGAGGGUGAUCAGCCACACUGGAACUGAGACACGGUCCAGACUCCUACGGGAGGCAGCAGUAGGGAAUAUUGCGCAAUGGGCGAAAGCCUGACGGAGCAACGCCGCGUGAGUGAUGAAGGUCUUCGGAUUGUAAAACUCUGUUAUUUGGGAAGAACAAAUGUGUAAGUAAAUAUGCACGUCUUGACGGUACCUAAUCAGAAAGCCACGGCUAACUACGUG
RNAcentral lists this ribosomal RNA (497 nucleotides) under uncultured bacterium. RNAcentral's name for it is "partial 16S ribosomal RNA". It matches the Rfam family "Bacterial small subunit ribosomal RNA", at positions 28 to 507 of the family's 1533-position model. The record is from RNAcentral.